Tupaia belangeri chinensis (Chinese tree shrew) is the source of this 716-nucleotide long non-coding RNA. RefSeq lists it as uncharacterized. The transcript is spliced from 4 exons. Lineage: Eukaryota; Metazoa; Chordata; Mammalia; Scandentia; Tupaiidae. The record is from RefSeq and is a predicted model, not a curated record.
UUUUUAACUCGUGACUUUCUUUAAAGAGGUGCCGCUAAGCAGGGACCUCCGCGAGACAAGAGUGGAGUUGAAAGUGUCUCUUUCUGCCAUCCGUGUAAUCAGAUCUCGGAGCAGAGGCUGAUAGAGACGAGCUGUGUUCUGGAACACCCAAGAUGGUUUUCUUCAUUAGAACAGGUUAUGGGGCAUUCCCCGUGUCCUGAGCGCUGGGACAGACAGUGGCGAUACAACGUGAAUGACGUGGUCCUUUGCCACGGACCAACGCACACAGAGGCAGAUCACUUCGAAGUAUGUGUUGAAUUGUCAGUGGCAUUUUUCACCCUGGUGAUGCACUGGUUCAUACGCGAACUCUCUUGCCGAACACCUGUUGGGUGUCUACCUGCGGAUCUGCUCUGGUGGAGGCCCAAUGCCGGCAGACGAGUACGAAAUGACCGUCUCCUGCGAGGUGUGAUUCUAAUCAGCAGGUGGAACGCUGACUGCCGUCGAGGUAGCUGAGGCCGAGCCUGAAGUACUUCAGGAAAAAAAAGAUAGAAAAAGCAAAGGAAAAAAAUACCUUGGACGCCUGGAGAUAGAGCCACAGUCCCCUAAGAUGAAUGGACACACAGACUGGAGCUGUGGGAGGACCUUUAUUAAACUUCUACUGAACAGAGCAGUCUUUGCUUUUCAUUCUGGGUUCUCCUAAAACCUUUUCCGGAGAAGCAGAUACGCAGAGAGGAAGA